This 87-nucleotide transfer RNA is filed under the name Parascedosporium putredinis. It matches the Rfam family "tRNA". Rfam says of the family: Transfer RNA (tRNA) molecules are approximately 80 nucleotides in length. Their secondary structure includes four short double-helical elements and three loops (D, anti-codon, and T loops). Lineage: Eukaryota; Fungi; Ascomycota; Sordariomycetes; Microascales; Microascaceae. The record is from Rfam by way of RNAcentral.
UUCUCUAUGGCCAAAUGGUUAAGGCGUCCGACUGUUACUCCUAGUAGCAUACAUCGGAAGAUUCAAGUUCGACCCUUGGUAGGGAAG